AUGCCGCGCCCGGGGCUGCCGGUGGUCUUGAGGACGACGCCCAGGCUCAAGGCGUACGAGGGCGUGCCGCCGCCGUACGACAGGACCAAGCGCAUGGUCAUCCCCGACGCGCUCAAGGUUCUGAGGCUGCAGCCUGGGCACAGGUACUGCCUCCUCGGCCAGCUCUCCAAGGAGGUCGGAUGGAACUACGCUCACACCAUCAGGCUUUUGUCAUAUAAACUCUCUUGUGGUGAUAAACGAUUUGUUCUUCGCUUUUUUGGCCUCUCCAGGCCCGGCAACCUUGUCCUAGCUGGGUCUGCAAAAUCUGAAGCCAAGGUUGUGCUCGUUGAUCCUGGAACUGUUGUCGAGAUGGAUGAAGAGGGGUGCUGGUUGGAGGACCCAGAACCCUCCCAGCUGCUGUGUCUCACGGUGCCCCUACCCUGCCUGCCUGAAUGGCCAAAUUAG
Molecule: ribosomal RNA, 444 nt
Filed under: Triticum aestivum (bread wheat)
Lineage: Eukaryota; Viridiplantae; Streptophyta; Magnoliopsida; Poales; Poaceae
Description: partial small subunit ribosomal RNA
Source: RNAcentral